AUGUCCUACGGGGCGCAGCAGUGGGGAAUAUUGCACAAUGGAGGAAACCCUGAUGCAGCGACGCCGCGUGAGUGAAGAAGUAUCUCGGUACGUAAAGCUCUAUCAGCAGGAAAGAAAAUGACGGUACCUGACUAAGAAGCCCCGGCUAACUACGUGCCAGCAGCCGCGGUAAUACGUAGGGGGCAAGCGUUAUCCGGAUUUACUGGGUGUAAAGGGAGCGUAGACGGCGCUGCAAGUCCGGAGUGAAAGCC
This 251-nucleotide ribosomal RNA is filed under the name uncultured bacterium. RNAcentral's name for it is "partial 16S ribosomal RNA". It matches the Rfam family "Bacterial small subunit ribosomal RNA", at positions 334 to 602 of the family's 1533-position model. The record is from RNAcentral.